This 253-nucleotide ribosomal RNA is filed under the name uncultured bacterium. RNAcentral describes it as "partial 16S ribosomal RNA". It matches the Rfam family "Bacterial small subunit ribosomal RNA", at positions 524 to 776 of the family's 1533-position model. The record is from RNAcentral.
UACGUAGGGGGCAAGCGUUGUCCGGAAUCAUUGGGCGUAAAGAGCGUGUAGGCGGCCAGCUAAGUCCGCUGUGAAAUCUCGAGGCUCAACUUCGAGCUGUCGGUGGAAACUGUCUGGCUAGAGUCCGGAAGAGGAGAAUGGAAUUCCUGGUGUAGCGGUGAAAUGCGCAGAUAUCAGGAGGAACACCGAUUGCGAAGGCAGCUCGCUGGGACGUAACUGACGCUGAGACGCGAAAGCGUGGGGAGCAAACAGG